ACGAACGCUGGCGGCGUGCUUAACACAUGCAAGUCGAACGGUGAUGAGGAGCUUGCUCUUCUGAUCAGUGGCGAACGGGUGAGUAACACGUGAGUAACCUGCCCCUGACUCUGGGAUAACAGUUGGAAACAGCUGCUAAUACCGGAUAUGAACCUUCCACGCAUGUGGGGGGUUGGAAAGCUCCGACGGUCAGGGAUGGGCUCGCGGCCUAUCAGCUUGUUGGUGAGGUAGUGGCUCACCAAGGCUUCGACGGGUAGCCGGCCUGGGAGGGCGACCGGCCACACUGGGACUGAGAUACGGCCCAGACUCCUACGGGAGGCAGCAGUGGGGAAUAUUGCGCAAUGGGCGAAAGCCUGACGCAGCAACGCCACGUGCGGGAUGACGGCCUUCGGGUUGUAAACCGCUUUCACCCAUGACGAAGUUUUUUAUGACGGUAGUGGGAGAAGAAGCACCGGCUAACUACG
This 464-nucleotide ribosomal RNA is filed under the name uncultured bacterium. RNAcentral describes it as "bacterial SSU rRNA". It matches the Rfam family "Bacterial small subunit ribosomal RNA", at positions 29 to 505 of the family's 1533-position model. The record is from RNAcentral.